This 378-nucleotide RNase P RNA is filed under the name Puniceicoccales bacterium. Its description in RNAcentral is "RNase P RNA component class A". It matches the Rfam family "Bacterial RNase P class A". From Rfam's summary of the family: Ribonuclease P (RNase P) is a ubiquitous endoribonuclease, found in archaea, bacteria and eukarya as well as chloroplasts and mitochondria. Its best characterised activity is the generation of mature 5'-ends of tRNAs by cleaving the 5'-leader elements of precursor-tRNAs. Lineage: Bacteria; Pseudomonadati; Verrucomicrobiota; Opitutia; Puniceicoccales. The record is from RNAcentral.
GUCUGGGGGUGAGAGGUUCACUUCGGUCAUUGGGCUGAAGAGGAAAGUCCGGACACCACAGAGCAGAAUGCCCCACGAAAGUGGGGGUACGCGGAGAUCAAGGCCGCGUAACGGCCAGUGCAACAGAGAAUAUACCGCCUUCGGGUAAGGGUGAAAAGGUGCGGCAAGAGCGCACCGCGCCUGGAGUGAUUCAGGUGGCAGGGCAAACCCCAUUCGGUGCAAGACAGAAUAGGAGAUAGAGUGGCUCGCUCGUCAGAAAUCUCGGGUUCGUCGCACUUCCUUCCGGGAAGAGGUCCCGAAAGAGACCUUUCGAGAUCUAGAGAAAUGAGCCUCGGGGCCUUGAGCCCCAACAGAAUCCGGCUUACCCCCCAGACCUUU